This is a long non-coding RNA of Canis lupus familiaris (dog), 407 nucleotides long. RefSeq lists it as uncharacterized. The record is from RefSeq and is a predicted model, not a curated record. The transcript has 3 exons. NCBI's taxonomy places the organism in Eukaryota, Metazoa, Chordata, Mammalia, Carnivora, Canidae.
CUUCUCUGGCUACUGGCAGAAGGAAGAUUAGCAGGACGCAAGGCAGGAGAAAGGAAGACAGUUGAGAGGAUCUUGCAAUCUUCCAGGCGAGGGUGGCCUGGACUUGGGCCUCAGAGGUAGAGGUGAGAGAUUUCUGUUAAGAAUGAAGGACUGUUUUGGAUAAAAGCAGUUUUGGCUCGUGUUGAUUUUCUCGGGGAUUUGCAUUGAAAAAGGAAAUUAUUUAAGCAAUCGCUACACCCAACAUGGAGCUCGAACUCACAACUCAAGAUUGAGAGUUACAUGGCUACAACCCCGACACAGUAGCAUUUGUGCCAAUUUCUGGUUGGAAUGGUGACAACAUGCUGGAGCCAAGUGCUAACAUGCCUUGGUUCAAGGGAUGGAAAGUCACCCGUAAAGAUGGGAAUGCC